RNAcentral lists this long non-coding RNA (683 nucleotides) under Manihot esculenta (cassava). RNAcentral describes it as "long non-coding RNA (MESC_LNC012195)". Lineage: Eukaryota; Viridiplantae; Streptophyta; Magnoliopsida; Malpighiales; Euphorbiaceae. The record is from RNAcentral.
AUCAUCAUUCAAGGGUUUCUCAAGCAUGAGGAUUUACCAAAAGCAUCAGAACUAAUCAAUGAAAUGGUUGACAAGGGAUUCUCUGCCGAUGCUACUACCACCGAAUUGGUAGUACGUUUAUUGUGCAAUGAUGAUCUCAUUCUGAGGCUUUUAAAGGUGCGCAAUGAGGGAUCAGCAAACUAAAGUUGUUAUAUCUUGACCAUUCAAGUGUGUCUUGGAGCACAACUUGGUAAUUGCCUUUUUCAAAUAUAAUAGAUAUGUAAUUUAACUAACUUCUUCAAAUAUCAUUUUUAAUUUCAAUCAGCUGUGAUUCUCUUCCACAAAAUGAAAAUUUCUAACGCCGCAAAUGACCUGUGGUGGAAACCAUGAUAUGUGUAUGCCUUUUGCUUGAAUUCAGACAUGGACUUGAUCUCUUUGAUAUAAGAUUGUUGAUGAAUGGGGGUCAUGGAUUUCUAAUGAUCAAGUUGCUGGUAAACCCACCAUCUCCUUUACAAAUUUUUUUUGGCUGCUACUACAGCCUUAACUCUAGAGCUGAGUCCUAAAAUUGAGUUGGGAACUAAAACUAAUUGGUUCCAUACUCCAAUGCUUAAGAAUCUUUAUCUAUUUUUAUUUUUGUGCUCAAUGACCUUUUAAAAUGCUAUCAUUUCUCUUGUAGGUACUUGCAAGGAUAUGAUUAUAACUUC